This 265-nucleotide signal recognition particle RNA is filed under the name Oscillospiraceae bacterium. RNAcentral's name for it is "signal recognition particle sRNA large type". It matches the Rfam family "Bacterial large signal recognition particle RNA". Rfam says of the family: The signal recognition particle (SRP) is a universally conserved ribonucleoprotein involved in the co-translational targeting of proteins to membranes. Lineage: Bacteria; Bacillati; Bacillota; Clostridia; Eubacteriales; Oscillospiraceae. The record is from RNAcentral.
CUCCGCUGUCCGGGGAAGUAGCGGUGCCCUCGACCCGCAAUCCGCUAUAGCGGGGGAGACCGUCGCCCUCGGGGCGUACUGUGUAUAGCGUCCGUCCCGCGUUGCUUAUGACCGGGCGGUCCCGCGCAACGAAAGCCCACGAACCAUGUCAGGCGGGGAACCGAGCAGCAUUAAGAGGUGUCUUUCGUGUGCCGUGGGGCUGCCGCCCGCGAGGUAUUCGCGUGCCGGCUCCCUUUAUACAGUCGUUUCAAAGGCGGCUGCGGGG